Trichonephila clavipes is the source of this 72-nucleotide non-coding RNA. The record is from the annotation of a GenBank genome assembly. NCBI's taxonomy places the organism in Eukaryota, Metazoa, Arthropoda, Arachnida, Araneae, Nephilidae.
GUCUCUGUAGGCAAUGGAUAGCGCGUUGGACUUUUAAUUCAAAAGUCAUGGGCUCGAAUCCCACCUGGGAUG